GCGAGUCCCUUUUGGAGUAAAACUUCGAGGGCUGAAAAGGUUAUAUAUAUACACACGGAAAAAGAAGAAAGCUAUCAACGGCUGUGAUAUAUACAUAUACAUACAACUGCGGCUAAGAGAAAUAUAUACAUGCAAGGCCAACAAUUACUACAGAUUUAGGCAUAGAAUUUGAGGAUAUAUACAUACACGAACAGGAAAAAGGGGAAACAAAAGUCGACGGCUGUUGGGGAAAAACAUAGAUAUAUACACAGACGCAGAAGACGGUCGGAAUUUGGAAAACAGAGAUAGCAGAACGGCAGACGAUAAUUCAUCAGCAGUAGGAAUUUGGAAAAUAAAUCACGUUUCGUCGAUUUUUGGUGAUGACUUCCUACUUUUAUGUGUUUAAUUUCAACAAUAUGCUAAAUUAAUUAUUUUCAUGUAUUGGAUGAAAAUAAAAUCGUUUAUUAUUUAUUUUUAAUUUAAGACAAGUAAUUUAAUUAAAUUUUUACAAUUCUUGAUUAAUCUUGCAUGCUAAAUUUUAUCAUUUGAUUGUUUAAUCACCAACUUAAUAUAUUUUUACUUGUCAUAGUGUCCAAAGACUCAUAAUAGGAUUAGAACACUGCUUGAUUAACACGUUUGUAAUAAAUUUUAGAAAUAAUAUUUACCGCGCAUGCAAUUUUUGAGACAAUUGUGAAAUUGAAUACGUUCUAUUCAUUGGAAUUCGAACUAAAAAUAUAUUCAAAUCGUGACUAGAAUAGAUUUAAUUUGUCUUGAGAAAGAAAAUUAAUUACAAUAGAAUUAUCGAUUGUCAUAAAUGCAAGUACGAAACUAGUUACAUAAUUAAAAAUUAAAAAAGAUAAUAAUAUGUAGAUUCGUAAUCCAAUACAUUCAUUCUAUACACAUACUAAAUUCGCAU
RNAcentral lists this long non-coding RNA (895 nucleotides) under Olea europaea subsp. europaea. The record is from RNAcentral. Lineage: Eukaryota; Viridiplantae; Streptophyta; Magnoliopsida; Lamiales; Oleaceae.